AUACAUAGGGGGCAAGCGUUGUCCGGAAUUACUGGGCGUAAAGGGCGCGUAGGCGGCGCUUCAAGUCGUCUGUCAAAUGGGAGGGCUUAACCCUUUUUCGCAGACGAAACUGGAGAGCUUGAGAAGCAGAGAGGCAAACAGAAUUCCUGGUGUAGCGGUGAAAUGCGUAGAUAUCAGGAAGAAUACCAGUGGCGAAGGCGGUUUGCUGGCUGCAUACUGACGCUGAAGCGCGAAAGCCAGGGGAGCAAACGGGAUUAGAUACCCUGGUAGUCCACGCCGUAAACGAUGAGCACUAAGUGUCGGAUGAAUUUUCGGCGCUGCAGUUAACACAAUAAGUGCUCCGCCUGGGGAGUACGGUCGCAAGACUGAAACUUAAAGGAAUUGGCGGGG
This 390-nucleotide ribosomal RNA is filed under the name uncultured bacterium. RNAcentral describes it as "partial 16S ribosomal RNA". It matches the Rfam family "Bacterial small subunit ribosomal RNA", at positions 523 to 918 of the family's 1533-position model. The record is from RNAcentral.